This 844-nucleotide long non-coding RNA is filed under the name Heterocephalus glaber (naked mole-rat). RNAcentral's name for it is "lncRNA (ENSHGLG00100043142.1)". Lineage: Eukaryota; Metazoa; Chordata; Mammalia; Rodentia; Bathyergidae. The record is from RNAcentral.
GUGAGCUCAUGUGUCUCUGUUGGGUGUGGUGGUGGAAGCAGCAUGGAGAGCAUGUUCCAUCUUAUAACUUUGUCAUGGAUGGCAGCCAGAGGCUCCCAGCCCCUUUGAUGUCCAGAACCCAGCAAUGUCAUUCUUCUUCUUCAAAACUCAAGCCAAGACCUCAAAGUCAUCCCCAGAGCCUGCUUUACUUUCACAACACAAAUCUAGUAUAAGGACAAUUUUGAAAGCCUCCGAGGAGCCAGUUCCAGGGAUUGGAGCCAGCAGGAUCCUCUAAAAGUAUGAACCACGCAACACCAGCUCAUUACAGCCACUCCUCCUUGAUCUAACAAAGCUCCUCCGUGGACUUCCCUCAGGUCUUUCUUGAAACAGCAUCUCCUGGGAGAGGACUUGUCCGACCUCUAAGCCUUCCCCACAGUGUAUCUUUCACUUACAUUUCUUUCUCGUCUCUAGAAUGACAGUCCCCGAAAGGGGGCACAGUUGUUGUCUUCUCUAUAUACUGCUGUGUUCCCAGCACCUAGAAUGAUUCUUGACACACGAGUUGCUUUGGUGGACAUCAGGACAGCCUGGGAAGACAGCGAUGAAUCGGAAUGCUCAGGGCACCCAGCAGCAUCUGAGAGAGGGGAGGUGUUACUAAGAGGGACCCCUGUGAAUCCCUACUGCAUUUGACCCCUGCUCUUUCAACAAAAUUUUUUACUUCUGCUUUAACAGAGGCAAGGAAAAUAGUAAAAUAUAUUAAAGUUGGCUUGUAUUAAAAAAACCCUCCUUUGUAAUUAGGGCAGUAAAUUAUAGACACAGGAUUCCAUAUAGGCCAUAAAUUGAAUAUUUUAGAGAGAGUAGAGUUGGG